GGCCCUGGCUAUUGGGGAAUUAAUUUCUCCAUGAUUCCCCCCAUCCUUUUCCAGGAUUCCCAACCCUCAUAGAACAGCCAAGGAGCGGGUCACCGGCUGCCUCGUUAAAGUUGAAUUUCAGCAACAUCUAUCAAGGUACCUUGCUGCAAAUGCCAAACACUUGGAUGAAAGCCUGGAUGAAGUCUCCUCCAGCUACCCUGGGAAGUGCUCUCUGGCCUAUGGUAACCUACAGGUGGAACUUGAGGUGUGAUGUGCCACCUGGGCUUGGUAAACAGCCCCUCCUUAUGUGUAUAUACCACAUUUUCUAUAUCCACACAUGCAGGUGGACAUUUAGACUGCUUCCUCAUCUUGGCUAUUGUGAAUAACAUUGCAGUGGAAUAUUACUCAGCCACAAAAAAGAAGGCAAUCUUUUCACAUUCAACAAAAUAAAUGAACCUUGAGAUCAUUAUGCUGAGUGAAACAAACCAAUAACAGAAAGACAAAUACUUCAUGAUCUCACUUAUAUGAGGCAUCUAAAGCAGUUAAACCCACAGAAGCAGAAUGUGGAGUGGUGGUUACCAGGACCUGGGAGGAGGGGGAAAUGGAGAGUUACUAUUCAAGGAGAAUUGAUGUUCAUAGAGUCAGUCAUGCAAGAUGAGAGAGUUCCAGAGACGUAGAUCAUUGUGCUUAGUGUUAAUGAUAAUGUAUUGUACACAUAAAAUUUUGGUGAAGAGGGCAGAUUUCAUGUUAUGUGUGUUUUUCAUAAUAAAAUAGUUUCUAAAGGAAUUAAAACUAUCCCACACUA
Molecule: long non-coding RNA, 784 nt
Filed under: Homo sapiens (human)
Lineage: Eukaryota; Metazoa; Chordata; Mammalia; Primates; Hominidae
Description: HSALNT0365232
Source: RNAcentral